RNAcentral lists this ribosomal RNA (253 nucleotides) under uncultured bacterium. RNAcentral describes it as "partial 16S ribosomal RNA". It matches the Rfam family "Bacterial small subunit ribosomal RNA", at positions 524 to 776 of the family's 1533-position model. The record is from RNAcentral.
UACGUAGGGUGCAGGCGUUAAUCGGAAUUACUGGGCGUAAAGGGCUCGUAGGUGGCCAACUAAGUCAGACGUGAAAUCCCUCGGCUUAACCGGGGAACUGCGUCUGAUACUGGAUGGCUUGAGAUUGGGAGAGGGAUGCGGAAUUCCAGGUGUAGCGGUGAAAUGCGUAGAUAUCUGGAGGAACACCGGUGGCGAAGGCGGCAUCCUGGACCAACACUGACGCUGAGGAGCGAAAGCCGGGGGAGCAAACGGG